UUACAGUCUUGAGCUUGCUUAAAUUGUCUGCAGAGGAAGACAUGGUGUGGCCAUAGACUUGGACCACUUCUUCUCGUGCCUUGGUUUGCCAUUCUUGAUGCAUUGCUAAAAGGACAAGUGCCCAAGUCAAAAGAUUACCAGUUGUUUCCUUUCCUGCAAAGUAGAAGGUCUUGCAUUCGUCUAUAACUUCUUGCACUGUUAAUCUCUCUUCUUCACCGUGCUGAUUCUUGAAGGCAGACAACAGUAGACUGACUAGAUUUUUAGAAUUCUCUUUCGUUUUGUUGUUAUUGUCUAUCAGCCUUUGUAUUGAUUCUUCAAUUUCCUUCUCUAUUCUCCACCUUUCUCUAUUCUUUUUAGUGGGCAAAUAUCUGUAGUGUAUAUAAUUUAAUUUUUAAAACACAAGGAAUUACAAAAGAAAGCGUGCAUGGAAUGGGAGACAAUACAACUUUCCAAUCCAUAUUCUUGUCAAGAUCUUCAAUGGAACACCAUCUAUCAUGUUUUGUUCCAACGGAGGAAUAAAAAAGGAUGGGUUGAGAGAAGAAAACAAUCAUCAUGAUAACUUCAACCCAUGUUUUUUCUUCCCAAUUACUUUAUCCUAAGUCAGGUACAUAAUCCAAUCUCAAAUAACCACUGGAGUAGAGAUAUAUAUAUAUAUAUAUUUUCACACAAUUAUACCAUAAAGGUACAUAAAAAUGAUAUUGGACCUAAGAUCCACAAAAGAUAUAAAAUUUAGCUAGAAGGUUAACAAACAUUUAUAAUUGAGUUAAAUAAUAUGAUUUUCUUAUAACGCCAAAAUACCUAAAGGACAUUGGAAAUAGUAUAAAAUAAAUUUAUAUUAUGUGACUAUAUUGUACAUCUACAAUGUACCUUACUUAUUUUUAUUUAUUUAUUUUUUUUAGGUUUUUAAAUAUUUAGUAAUUUUUUUUAAAAUAUUUUUUUAAAAAUGAUAAAAAUAAAUAAAUUAAACCCACAUACAACUUAAAAUCUUGAUUUAAAAUUAUUUUAAUAUAUAACUUUAAAUUAUUUAAAGUUUAAAAUUAUUUUUUAAAGGAUUUCAACAUCAUUUUUUAUUUCAUAUAAUAACAAUAUAUAUCAUAUUAAAAUUAUAAAAUAUAUGCAAAAAAAAUUUAUAAAAACAAUUAUUGCUCUCUUUCAAAUAUAUGAAAAUUACAUUUUUAAAAUAUUAUUAUUAAUACUAAAUUUUAAUGAAAGUUUUAUUAAUUACUUUCAAUAACGUUACUAAAAUGUUAUAUUAUUAAUAGUAAAAUAAAAUAGAAAAAUAAAAAAUAAAACUAAAAAUUUAUUUAAAUCAUAGAAAAUAUUUCUUUUUAGCUUUUUACUUAAAAUUUAACUUAUUCAAUUAUAAAAUACAAAAAUUAAAUUAAAUUAGAAAAAUUAAAAAUUAAAAAGAUAUAACUAAAAGUAUAUAAAUAUGUUUAUUGUGUUUUCCUUUUUCAAAAUGGGUUAGAGGAGUGAGAAUAAAGAAUGGGAAAGAAUAUAUAAAAGUUGAAGAAUUAAAGAAUUAAAAGAUGAGAAUGUUCACUUUUCCUUGAUCUCCUUCGUAUUUUCAUAUUUCACGUACUUAGUAUCAAUUAUGCUAAAUAUGUCAACCUUAAUUCAUUAUUAGCUUUAACUACCCUAAAUCAUAAUUGUCUAAAUUAGAAUAAUAAAGUCAAGGCAUACGAGUUUUGACCUGAAGCCAGGAAUGUAGAUACUUCUCAAAGCCUGGACGACGAGGUGGGUUUGCUGUUCUUGUAGUUCAAAAAUGCAUUUUCCCUCUUGGAAACUGCUCCCAAAAGCCGUUCUGGAUAUAAUGUCUGCAGAAAGAUUUUGCAGCUCUCUAUGCACUUCCCUUUCCAAUUCAUCCCUCCCCCUUCUUGCUUCCUCCCACUCUUCCAACAUCUUACUAGUACUUGCCACAAUUUCCGGCACCCACCCCUAUCAAAACAAAUACAGAAUACUAGUACACCAUCAAUUUGUGGUAAUGGGUUCAUAAAAUAAGUGAACCUUGAUUAGUCUAAGCUGAUAUUUUGAAGUUCCUUCUAAAUGGCUAUCUAGUCAGGGCUUUUUACCUUUUCUCUAAAAAGACAUGCUGAAAUUACUAGGACCUAUUUUGAAAAGUUCUCAAAUAUAUUUGAAAAACAAUUCAAGAAUUAUCUGAGUAACUUUUGUAAUUGGAUUUUCAUCAGAUAAUCGUCAAACACAUUACUUGUCUUGAUAUCAACCAAAAUUAAACUACAUAUUGCUUGCUGAAUAUGUUGAGUAUGAGGGAAAAGAGAGAUUUGUAUAACCUUAACUGUCUCCGUAUUGAAAGCCUGAUUCGUGAUUCUUCUAUGAAGAGCCCACUUCUCACCGUUCAACGCAACAAGUCCAUCUGCAAACAGCAGCUUAGACAAGGGGUUAAACCUAGCCUUAUCAUAGGACACACCUGCUUUGAGGAAAACCUCCUUAAUCGACUCCGGAUCUGCUAGAGCCAGCCUGGGCUUUGUCCCUAACCACCAAAUAAACGUCUUCCCGUAAGCGCCUGACCACCUGGAGUAGUGCGGAAGCACCCGGUGAAGUAUGUCAUGCUGCAAUCCACUCAUUGAUUUCGACUGAGCCUCCGAGUACAUACGCUGGAACUCGCCCACGUUUCCUGAAAUGGGUCGGUACCCUGGGCCGCCGAUGCCCUGAGUCCUGAAGUGUUGUUGGAUCCUCCAUGGAACCCAGAUGAUUGAGUGUACGAAUUUGAAUACCAGUAUCACAGCACUGAAGAAUAGGGCAAGCAGUAGAAGAUGCAUGGUGGUGGAUCACAGAGACGGAUAGAUAGGGUUGUGGUGAUCGAUGGACUUUGCCGACACUGCUAAAGAAGGUGGAUGUGAAAAAGGAGCGUAGUCACGGAUGAGCAGGGCCUAAUUCUGAAUGUAGGAUCUAUUGAUCUAGAACUUGAAUUUUAAUAAUAUAAAAGCAAAUAAAUACAAUGUUCCACAGAAAUUUGUUAAUAUAGGAAUGGUAAUGGGAUGGUUUUUUUACCCAUCAGCCCUGCUCCAAACGGGGAGUUUUAAUAUUAAUUAAAUGAUCUUGGAACGGGUUUGCCAUUUUUUUUUAAAACUUGGAGUAGGUAUGGUAUUGCCUUAUCCCGCUUUAUCUCAAUUAUAUAUAAAAUUAAUUUUUAAAAUUAAAUUAAUUUAAUUUUUAUUUUGCUAUUUUUAAUAUGUAGAUAAUAAUAAAAUAUUUUUUUUAAUAAAAUAAGUUAUAAAAAAACAUAAUAAAUUAAUUAUUUAUAAAAUAUAUUUAUUUUAAUGUAAUUUAAACAUAAUUUUUUUUUAAAAAAAAGAAAAGAAAGUUAAACGAAUAGGAAUUAAGACGGGGUGACCCCUUCCAAACACACCUCAUUGUUACCCCUACUGUCAUUUAUGUCUUUGGACAUUUUACAUGAUACUUAACAAUAGAACGUUUUACAUGACUAUUAAUUAGUUCUUAGUAAACUUACACACAACUUGCAAAAAUGGAAGAAGUUUAAGAAAAACAAAUGAGAGAUGGCUUAUAUGAAAUUCUUAACUCACUCUAAAAUGAAAUUCCUAAUUAUAGUAGUUAAAAAAAUAAAAUAAUAUGAAAGAGAGAUCAAACCCUUUAAAAUUGAAAAUCAUGGAAUUUUAUUUGUGUUUGCAUGGGGAAAUACGUACUUUUUUAGACAUGGGAGCUCAAUAAUAAUAAAAGUAUAAAUUUUAUAUAAUAAUUAAAUUAAUAUUUAGGGGAGAGAAAUCAAUUUUAAUAACAGAAAAAUUAAUAGAAAUAAAGGGUACAAAUUUGAAGUCUUGAAAUAUUAUUGAUUAUUUCUAAGUUGUUUGACUUGAGUUGUGGAAUAUUGUGAGGAAUCUUUUCAUAAUUCAUUAGAAGAAGAAUAUUUAAAAUAAUGAAUUAUGAUAACAAACUCUGUUGUGUCUCAUAGGUAUAUCAUAUUAGAAAAAUCAUAUGCAUUUGAAAUAAUUUUUUUGAAAAAAUUUAAUGAAAUGAUCAAAUUUAGAUAAUUAUCUAUUAAAUUAAAUCCGACAAUUGAUAAUUUCAAUAUAAAAAAAAUCAAAAUAAAAGGAGAAGCGCGUAACUUGUCAUAAGGGAUUAAAAUAUCGUCGAAAAGAAACAUAUAUAUAUAUAUAUAUAUAUAUAUAUAUUGUUGAUUCUCAACCAACUGGAGUUAGGUUCAUCUAGCUUGAUUGAAGUCAGACAAAUUUCUUCCAUUCUUUGUGCCUUUUCGGAGAAUCCAUCUAGCAAGAAUGAGACUAGAUGGAAAAGAUCCUGCACAAAAGGAUGUCCAAACGGAUGGUCCAAGUACAUCCCUCCGAAGCUCAAGUCAGGCGAGAGUAGCUCAAGCUGCUUAGUGGGAGAGAGUGAAUAAGGGCAUGUACGCGUACCUCGUUUGUAAUUUUUGGAGGGUUUAUAAAGGGUUAAUGAGACUUGACUAGGCACUUUCAUUUUCUUCUGUAAUGAUGAUUGUACAGUUUUGGGUGGCUGGCAGGUGUCAUGAUGUUGGACUGUGUAACCACCUAUCCUUUCAAUCUGUUAACGAUCUAGGUUUAUGUACAACAAUUAAGUGACAUGAACUUGUGGGCUAAAUGGAGUCUCAUCGGUCGUUCACAUGUUAAGCGUAAAUGAUUACGCAUGCCAGUAGGUCUUAAAGACUUGAUUGGACAAUCCUUCCCGUUUGGGGGGUUCGAACUCCUCUUGUCGUGUGGCCCUGUGCUAUAUGGUCAAGGUGUUCGGGUUGAAAAAGGGACACGCAGAGGGGAGCCCCCUACGUGUAUGACCCUUACUCUUCCUAUUGAAAGCCCGGUCGUUCCAAGAAGCCCAUCUCCGAACAACAGCUUAGAUAGUGGAUUAAAUCCCACAUUAUCAUAGGACACACCUGUGUUUAGUAAAACCUCCUUAAUCCACUCUGUAUCCGCUAUAACCACCAAACACACGUCUCCCCAUAAGCGCCUGACCACCUAGAGUAGUAAGGAGGCACUCGACGAAGUAUGUCAUGUUGCAAUCUACCCAUUGAUUUCGAUUGAACUUCCACGUACAUACACUAGAACUCGUCCACGUUUCUUGAAAUGGGUUAAUACCCUGAGCCGCCUAUGCCUUGAGUCUUUCAAGUGUUGUUGGAUCUUCUAUGGAACCCAGAUGAUUGAGUGUAUGGAUUUGAAUGACAUUUAAAAUUAAUGUGACGACGAUUUAUUCAUUUAUUUAUUUUUAAUAAUAUGAAAAAACUAUGAAACUCUAUCAACGAAAAUAAUGGAACUAUACAUGCGUUUGUGAAGAGAAGCAUAUAAGUUUUUAUAAAAGAGAGUUAUUUAAAUUAAAUUAAUUUCUAGAGGAGAUAAAUCAAUUCUAAAUGACAUAAAAACCAAUGUUUUCAAAACCAGAUCGGUCAUUGAACCGGAAAAGUUACCGGUUCACAAUUCAUUGGUCGGACCGGCAGUCGAACCGGUGAUGUCAUUAAUAUAUAUUUUUAUAUAUUAUUAAAAUUUUAAAAAAAUUAAUAAAUAAAAAUAAUAAAUUAUAUCUAAAUUUUGACAAUAUCUAUCAUGUUUAUUAAUUUUUUUCACAAAUUUUUUUUAUCUAUAGUUGUCCAUCAACCCAAUAUUUUCAAUAAUUUCAAUAAAUUAAAAUGCUAAUAUGUAAUAAAUAAAACAAAAUAUAAAAAUUCAAUAUAAAAUUUUAAAAAACUAAAAUGGAAGGUUCUCGUGGGGGAUAGGGAGAUGAGAGAGAGAGAGAAAAUUAAAUUUUUAAAAACUAAAACGGAAGUCAUGGGAGGGAAGGGGGGAUAGAGAGAGAGAGAGAGGGGUUUCUAGUCGUGGGAGGAUGGGGGGUGGUUUCAGUCGUGGCCCAUGGAGGGAACUUCCAGUGGGAGUGCUCUUUACCGUCGAGGGGAAGGGGGGAGUUUUCCAGUCCGUCGCUAGGGGUGGGGUGACGAGAUUUGCACUAGGUGUUCAUCGGUCGAAUCGCCGGUUCAUCGGUCGAACCGCCGGUUCAUCGGUCGAACCGCCGGUUCAUCGGUCGAACCGUCGGUUCAAACGGUUUAAUUCCAUUUCGAUGGCUUCCCAGUCCAAUUGGUCAGACUGGACCAAAAUCGUGAUCGGUCGACGAUCGGAUCAACCGAUCCGAUCCGAUUUUUAAAACCAUGAUAAAAACUAGUAGAUAUCAACUUUUCAAGUUUGGAGUCUUGAGAUAUUAUUAAUUCUCUUCAAAUUGGUUGGCUUGAUUUGUGAAGUCAUUUCGAGGAAUCUUUUCAAAUUUCACUAAAAGAUGAAUUAUUUAUAUUUAUAAAAUUAUUAAAAUAAUAUAUGAAUUAUUAUAACAAAAUCUUUUAUCUCUUGUUGUCUAUCAUAUUAAUUUUAUUCUAAAUUUCAUGUUUUUAAAUUUGAUCUUUACUGAUUUUAAGAUUUCUAAACCCAACCGAAAAACAUGGUCACGUGCAAAAGAAGAAAAAAAGAAGAAGAGAAAAUCACAAGUAAAAUAUUGCAAAAACGUACUCGAAUCCAUAUAUAAGCAUACAUAAUUAUUACAUAAUUUGAAAAUAUAAAAGAUACGUACUAAUAUAUAAUUUAUUUGCUUUGUCAUCCAUCAUCAAUGGGAUACAAGCUUACAACAUUAGGUGGGAUAGUAUAAUAUUAUUAUCACAAACACUAAAGGAAAAAAACUUUUAACUUCAAAUCCUUGUAAAGUGGAUGUGGGCACCAUACUGGGGAUGCAAGGACAAGCUCUGCAUUGGGGCAUGAACAUAUGUUGGAGAUAACACAAAGGAAUAUUGUUGGAUGAUCAUGGCUAGGAUAAUUUUUGCCUCAACCAUCGCCAAAUUUUGACCUACACAUAUCCUGGGGCCCAACCCAAAAGGGAAAAAUGAGGCUAAUUGCUUCCUAGGCUCCUUAAAUCUAAAAGGGUUGAAUUCAUUAGCAUCUUCACCCCAUAUUUGAGUGUCAUGAUGAACAGCAGUCAUAGUCGCAAAGAUUUGUGUGCCUGCAGGAAUAUCUACCCUUCCUAACUUUACACUUUUUGUUGGUACCCUUGACAUGGGUUGGGCAGGGGGAUAGAGUCGAAGUGUUUCAUUGAUUAUCAUGCCCACCUGUAAAUAAUAAUGUAAAUCAUGCAUCAUAUUGGUGGCAUGGUAGUAAAAGAACAUAAUUGUUUAAGUGAACUUACAAUCUUGAGCUCGCUUAAAUUAUCUGCAAAGGGAGACAUGGUGUGGCCAUAGACUUGGACCACUUCUUCUCGUGCCUUGGUUUGCCAUUCUUGAUGCAUUGCUAAAAGGACAAGUGCCCAAGUCAAAAGAUUUCCAGUUGUUUCCUUUCCUGCAAAGUAGAAGGUCUUGCAUUCGUCUAUAACUUCUUGCACGGUCAAUUUCUCUUCUUCACCAUGCUGAUUCUUGUAGGUUGACAAUAAUAGACUGACUAGAUUUUUAGAAUUCUCUUUUGUUUUGUUGUUAUUGUCUAUCAGCCUUUGUAUUGAUUCUUCAAUUUCCUUCUCUAUUCUCCAACUUUCUCUAUUCGUUUUAGUGGGCAAGUAUCUGUAUUGUAUAUAAUUUAAUUUUUAAAACACAAGGAAUUACGAAAGAAAGCAUGCAUGGGAUGGGAAACGAUACAGAUUUCCAACUCAUAUUCUUGUCAAAUAUUCCAUGGAACACCACUCGUAAUGUUCUACUCCAAUGGAGGAAUAAAAGAGAAUGGGUCGAGAGAAGAAAAUAAUCAUUAUGAUAACUUCAACCCAUCUUCUUUUCUUCCCAAUUAGCUUAUCCCACAUUCUCAAGUACACAAUCCAAUCUCAAAUAACUAUUUGAGUGGAAUAAUUUUAUUUUUAUUUUUAUUAGUAGUUGAGCCAUACUGAUAGAAAUCAGAAUAACAAAGUCAAAGCAUACGAGUUUUCACCUGAAGCCAGGAAUGUGGAUACUUCUUAGAGCCUUGGCGAUAAGGUGCAUUUGCUGUUCUUGUAGUUCAAAAAUGUGUUUUCCCUCUUGAAAACUGCUCCCAAAAGCCGUUCUAGAUAUAACGUCUGCAGAAAGAUUUUGCAGUUCUCUAUGCACUUCCCUUUCCAAUUCAUCCCUCCCUCCUCUAGCUUCCUCCCACUCUUCCAACAUCUUUCUGGUACUUGCCACAAUUUCCGGCACCCACCCCUAUCAAAACAAAUACAGAAUAUUAGCACACCAUCAAUUUUGGCGGUAAUGGAUUCACAAAAUUAGUGCACCUUGAUUACUCUAAGCUGAUGUUUUUAAGUUCCUUUUAAAUGGUAUCUAGGCAGGGCUUUUUACUUUUCCUCCAAAAAGGCACGCUGAAAUUGUUAGGGCCUAUUUUGAAAAGUUUUCAAAUAUUUUUUAAAAGAAUUAUCUGAAUAACUUUUCUAAUUGGAUUUUCAUCAGAUAAUCGUAAAAACAUUAAUUGUCUUGAUAUCCAACAAAAUUAAACUACAUGUUACUUGCUGAGGAAGAGGGAAAAGAAAGAUUUGUAUGACCUUAACUCUCUCCAUGUUGAAGGCCCGGUUCGCGAUUCUUCUAUGAAGAGCCCACUUCUCACCCUUCAACGCGGCAAGUCCAUCUCCAAACAGCGGCCUAGACAGGGGACUAAACCCAACCCUAUCAUAGGACACACCUGUGUUUAGGAGAACCUCCUUAAUCGACUCCGGAUCGGCUAGAGCCAGCCGGGGCUUUGUCCCGAACCACCAAAUAAACGUCUUCCCGUAAGCGCCGGACCACCUGGAGUAGUCCGGAAGCACUCGGUGAAGUAUGUCAUGCUGCAAUCCUCCCAUUGAUUUCGACUGAGCUUCCGCGUACAUACGCUGCAACUCACCCACGUUUCCUGAAAUGGGUCGGUACCCUGGGCCUCCUAUGCCUUGAGUCUUGAAGUGUUGUUGGAUCCUCCAUGGAACCCAGAUGAUUGAGUGUACGGAUUUGAAUACCAGUAUCACAACACUGCAGAAUAGGGCAAGCAGUAGAAGAUGCAUGGUGGUGGAUCACAGGCCGGAGAGAAGGGUUGUGGUGAUCGAUGGACUUUGCCCACACUGCUAAAGAAAGUGGAUGUGACAAAGAGCGAAGUCACGGGGCCUAAUUCUGAAUAUCAUGUUGGGAUUAGGAUGUGAUCAUGGAUGGUGUAGGAUCGAUUGAUCUGGAAUUUGAAUUUUAAUAAUAUAAAAGAAAAGAAAUUCUAAACAUGAUGAUACGAAAUUCCAAAUAAAUUGGAGGAAAAUGUUUCACAGAAAUUUGUCAUGUGUGUCUUUGGCAUUUAAUCUAGAAUAUGAAAUAAGAUUUAACUAUUAAAUUCAUCUACAAUACAAUAUGAUACUUAACAAUAUGAAAUAGGACAUUUUACAUGAAUUAUUAUAACAAACUCUUCUGUCUCUUGUAAGUCUAUCGCAUCAAAAAAAUCAUAUGCAUUUGAAAUAAUUUUUUUGAAAAGAUUCCAUGUUAUAAAAAAAUAUAAUAGUUCAAAAGAGAAUCAAAUAAUUAUCACAAACUCUUUUGUCCCUUGUAAGUCUUAUCAUAUUAAAAAAAAAAAAAAAUCGUAUGUAUUUGAAAUAAAUUUUUUGAAAAGAUUCCAUGUUAUAAAAAAAUAUAAAAGUUAAGAAGAGAAUCGAAUAAUUAUCAUUGAAAUGGUUAAAAUAAUGCGUGAAAGAGAAAAAAUUAUUAUUCAAAUAUAAGGAAGAAGAUGGUGAAGAUGGAUCUCACCUAUGAAUAACACUUACGAGGGGUUGAAUAUGCAUUUUUUCUAAAUAAUUAGAUAUGGUAUCUCAUAAAUGCUUACAAUUUCCCUAUUUUUCUCUUAUGAUUUGAUCUUCUUUUUUUUAAUCUUAUGAAUGAACAAGCAAAUCGCAAGCAACAAUAGAUGCACUAACACUCUCCCUAACAAGUUAUUCAAUGUAAGUUACAUGCAAAUAAGACAACACUUCCCAAAUAUGAUAUAUAAAACAUUGCAUCAAUAUAAAAACAUUUUUUUUUCUUCACAUGCCCUUGUCAUCAAUCAACAAAAACUAAAAUAUAUCUUAUCCUUUCAAAUAUUCAAUAAACACAUUUUGGUUCAUACUCCAAUUAAUUCAAUCAUCAUAACACAAUGAAAAAAAUAUCAAAAUCUCGUGAAAUACUAAUUAAAAGACAUGAUAGAAAAGAGAGAAUGACAUCAAUUUUUUAAUGUGGAAAAUCUCUGAAGAGAUAAAAACCAUAGGUCUCAAACAAUCAAAUCAUUCACUAUGAAGAAAAAUUAGUUGAGUAUAAAGUUUUAUUUAACUCAAGUCUUUCAUCCUCUCCCAAACCAUUUGCCUAGAACCUUCAAGCUUCAGCUACCACUGUUCUUCUUCGAGAAAACAUUUGAAAUUCAUUCCACACUUUGUUCUUGACCUCUUCUCGAGUCUACACAAGAAUAAUUUUAGGUUUUACCCCAAUAAGUUGAAUAUGAAAGUAAUAUGAGAGUUAGGAUAAAGAACACAUUGAAUUAACCCAUUUAGAACAAAGAUUUUUCACUGAAAAUUUGAUUUACAAUUCAAACCCAUAAAUUUUCUCACAAGGCAUAUACUCUCCAAUAUAGUAAAAAAACUUGAUGCUAAAAAACCUAGAGUUUUCUCUCUCAUAGCCGCUUAUACCACAUCUGGAAAGAGAGCUUAAGUAUUAAGGUUUUGAAACUCAUCUAAUGGUUGAGAUUCGUUUGGAAAAUCAUGAAAAUUCACAAGUGUGAUCAAAAUCUAGUCAAUCAAACAAGAUUGAAAAAAAUUGGGUUCAACAUAAAUUGCUACCCUUUAGUUUGAUCGAUCAAAAAUUUAUCCAAAUAUUUUAAACACAAUGUUUUGCAUUCCUUAAGCAGUUACUCCAUUUUUCAAUAAAAUGAAAAUAGUUGAAAACAUGGUUGAUCAAUGUUUUCCAUCAUCGAAACCCUCAAAAGCAUUUACCAACUCCUCUAGCCAUCUUCAAACGCGAACAAUUUGGAAAAGACAAGUGUCAAAUGAGGGAUUUGAAAAAUAUGAGAUACGAGACACAAUGAGAAUUUUGACCCAAAAUUGGCAAUACACAAAAUACACUCAUGGAUAAAUAUAUAAAGGUGACAUUGGAAAAAAAGAGAAGAAAAUGGAAUGAUAAAGGUGAUGUAGGAAAAACAUAAAAGGUAAGUCGACAUCAACUUUAUUGAAGUCUCAAUCCAUUCUAUUUUCUCUCCUAUUUACUACUUACUACGGCGACGAAGAAUCAAAUUAUCGCUAUAUUUAUUCCUUUUUCUACUUCUUCUUCCAAGUGCAGGAUAACCCCAAGGGGUUGUGGGUUUUUUUCUACCAAUUGGGGCUCUCCCCUCACCACCCCCAUGGGGAUGGUCUACAGGGUUCAUAACUACUCCUCUUACUACAGGACGCUUACCUAGCCAACACUUAGAUCCGGCUCUACCCAAACUUUUCUAAAAAUUUUUUUUAUCAAUGAAUACCCUUCCUUCAAACAUUGAAUUUAAAAUUUUCAAAUUAACUAUUUUCUUUUUCAUUCAAAUCUUUCCUUUCUAUACAUAAAACAAAUGUUUGUUUGUGAAAGUAAAAGACUUUUUCUUAUGAAUUUUCGUGAUCUUAAAUUGACAUCAUGUUACAUAGGUGAAAAAAAAAUAAUUAGGAUCAAUUUUGUGCCCAUUUGUUUUAUUAUUUUAAGAAAAAAAAUAUUAGUUGUAUGAUACGUAGCUUUCUAGUCAUUUAAAGAAUUAUAUGCAAAUCAAUAUUAAUUAACUAAGCAGAUGAAAUGAUCAAAUUUAAAUAAUUUUCUAUCAAAUUAAACCCAAAAACCAAUAAUCUUGAUAUAGAAAAUAUUCAAAAUAAAAACUUAAAAUCUUGGAAGACAAGUCUAAUUAUCUCAAAAGAAGAACGCAACUUAUCAUAUACCUUAUCAUGUACAUUGCCUAAACCUACCUACUACCUUGGUUACUUCUAUUUCAUUUUUCAUUAUUAUGUGAAAAAAAAAAUCAAAUUGAUUUAUUAUAAAUCUCAUGUUUCUAAAAGAUUUGAUCUUAUAGGCAUCACCAUUUUUCUCUCUCUUAAAAUAAAACACUUUUUUUUCAUUUGGCAAAUAAUGAAAAUGUACUUCAAUCCAUAUAUGGUAAAGUAAUUAUUACAUAAUUUGAAAAUAGAAAGAUACAUACUAACAUAUAAUUCAUGUUUUUAGUAACCCAUCAUCAACCAAACAUAAGCUUACAACAUUAGAUACCAUAGUAUAACAUUAUUAUUACAAACACCACACAAAAAAGUGAAAAUUUAUCAACUUCAGAUCUUUGUAAAGAGGAUGUGGGCAUCGUACUAAGAUUGCAAGCCCAAGAUUUGCAUUGGGGGCAUGAACAUAUGUUGAUGAUAACAUAAAUGGAUAUUGUUGAAUGAUCAUGGCUAAGAUAAUUUCGCCUCAACCACCGCUAGAUUUUGACCUACGCAUAUCCUGGGGCCUAACCCAAAUGGGAAAAAUGAGGUUGAUUGCUUUCGAGGCUCCUUAAAUCUUAAGAAGUUGAAUUCAUUAGUAUCUUCACCCCAUAUUUGAGUGUCAUGAUGAACAACACUCAUAACUGUUAAAAAAAUUAAGCUGAUCCAACUUAAGGUAAUCACUCUAAAGGAGGAUGAGUAGAGUGAUAGUCUCUUUCUGUAAAUUUAAAUUAUAUGAAUACAAGAGACACUUUCUUGGUAAUGUCUUCCUUUUCACUCUCUUUAUUUUCAUCAUCAUUUGUUGAGGCCUUAAAUGCUAUAUUUUUCUUAUUUUCUUUAACUCUUUGAUGAUUGUUCAAUUUUAUCUCAUGAGUCAUGAGUGACCCAAUGAGUUCUUCAAAUGGGAGUUUGGUGACAUCAUUUGCUUCUUGAAUAACUGUCACUUUUGUUUCCCAUUUUUUUUGGUAAAGACCUCAAGAUCUUCAUGACUUUCUGUACUUUGGUGUAGGUCUUUCCCAAUGCUUCAAGUUCAUUUACAAUCACCAUGAACCUAGAAAACAUCUCUACAAUAGAUUCAAAAUCCUUCAUAGAAAAUAAUUUAUAAUCAUGCACAAGGAUGUUGAUCCUAGAUUCUUUAACUUGGUUGGUUCCCUCAAGAAUGAUUUCUAAAAGUCUUCAAAUUUAUUUAGUUGACUUACAUUGCCAAAUAUGAUUAAAUUCAUUUCUAUCAAUAGCACAAUGUAAGAUAUAAACGACUUUGACAUUUAAUUGAAUUUUCUUUUUAUCAAGUUCAUCUCAUUCUUACUUAGGUUUUGGAACCAUUACUCCAUUUUCUAAUUUUGAAGGAAUGUGAGGACCAUCUACAAUGACAUCUCAUAUAUUAAGAUUAGUAGAUUUUUAAAACCAAGUCAUUUUUGUUUUCCAAUAGGAAUAAUCGUUUCCUGUAAAGAAUGGAGGUCUAUUGGUUGCAAAACACUCAAUAUGAGAUGAGCUUAAUGGAUUAGUCAUUACCUUUUAAACGGUUAAGUCUUAAACAAGAGGUCUAACUCUGAUAUCAAUUGUUAGAAAAAUUAGGCUAAUCCAACUUAAGUCAAUCACCCUAAAAGGGGGUGAAUAGAGUGAUGGUCUUUUUUUGCAUAUUUAAAUUAUAUGAAUGCAAAAGACAAUUAUAUGCAAAUAUAUAAUAAAAUAAUAUAAAGACAAUUGCAUAUAAAGUAAAAGAAUAUGAAAAAGAGAAUGCAGACACAAGAUUUUUAUAGUGGUUCGGCGCAACCCGACCUACAUCCAUUCUCCUUUAACUUCAAUCCUAAGCUUGAGGUUCCACUAUUUCAAGACUUCCAAACCAAGUCUUAAAGUAAUAUAUUUGGUUUAUAGUUCCAAUCCACCCUCUUGAACUUUUGGCUCCAAGCACUAUUUACAAUCCUUAAGAGAUACCCCACUCUUGAACAACCCCUCAAGUGAUACCCUACACUUAAAAAUCCCUAAGUGAUAUCACAUACUUAAACUUUUCUUUUCAAAGAUUUACAAAUGAAUAUAGGAAAUAUUCUCACAAAAUCUUAUUACAAAACUUUAGACUCAAAUGUACAAGAAAAACUAUGAUUGAAAGAUCCAUUAAUGAUAUGCAAGUUUUAGAAUAAUGGUGCACUAAAAAACACUCUACCAAGGUUCAAAUAUAUUCAAGAAAGGUUUAGAAAGGUUAAACUCUUGAAACAAUAAAGAUUGAAGCCUUCUUAUAAAAGAAAAUGACCAAACUAGUAGUUGGGGUUUUGACCGAUCGAGUUAGGGGUCGACUGGUUGACUAGCCGUUAGCAUUUAAUAUUUGGCAGAUGACCAUUGGACCUCGAUUGCCCCUUGACCGAACCUCGACCUGUUGAACAAGUGUUCUAAAAGAGAAUGAAGGUUUUUGCACCUUUCAACCGGUUAAGCUGAACAAGUCGAUCGGUUCUCAUCCGGUUCAACCAAUUGAGUUGUUUUUGGCUCAACAACCAUUCGUUUCAACUUAAAACCUUUUAAACAAGUUUGAAAAAAAAUUUGACACAAGGUUUUAGUUGAAAACAUGAAAUUAUCCGAUUUUAAAGGAUUUAGAAACAAAAUUACUUUUAAAUGAUUUUGGUGCAUAAAUUAAUAAUGUAAUGCAUGGAAGACCUAGUGCGCCAACAACCUUACACAAAGACCCUAUAAAGUUUAGGUCUUGAAAAAUACUUAUCUUUGAGGUCUUCUUCUUCUUACUAAUUUUUCUUUAACUUGAUUUUGUCUUUGUGAUUGUCAUUUUGAAAAUUUUUUUGCCUAAUCAUACUUGAAAUAUAAUCAUCAAUUUCAAACCUUGUUUUGUUAUCAUCAAAACUAAUAUUAACAAAACCUUGGUUUCACAAUAACAAAAUAGAUUUGUGCCUGCAGGAACAUCUACCUUUCCUAACUUUACACUUUUUGUUGGUUCCCUUGACAUGGUCUAAGCAGGGGGAUAGAGUCGAAGUGUUUCAUUGAUUAUCAUGCCCACUUGUAAACAGUAAUGUAAAUCAUGCAUCAUGCUGAAAGUAAAAGAACAUACUUAUUUAAGUGAAUUUACGAUCGCGGGCUUGCUUAAAUUCUCUACAAAGGGCGACAUGGUGUGGCCAUAGACUUAGACCACUUUUUAUCAUGCCUUUGUUUUCCAUUCUUGGUGUAUCGCUAGAAAGACAAGUGCCCAAGUCAAAAGAUUAGCAGUUCUUUCCUCUCUUGCAAAGUAGCAGGUUUUGCAUUCAUCUAUAACUUCUUCCACUCCUAACAUCUCUUCUUGACCACGCUGAUUCUUGUAGGUUGACAAUAAUAGAUUGACUAGAUUUUUAGAAUUCUCUUUUAUUUUGUUGUUAUUGUCUAUUAGCCUUU
This 15234-nucleotide long non-coding RNA is filed under the name Vitis vinifera (wine grape). RNAcentral's name for it is "long non-coding RNA (VVIN_LNC006057)". Lineage: Eukaryota; Viridiplantae; Streptophyta; Magnoliopsida; Vitales; Vitaceae. The record is from RNAcentral.